RNAcentral lists this ribosomal RNA (253 nucleotides) under uncultured prokaryote. RNAcentral's name for it is "partial 16S ribosomal RNA". It matches the Rfam family "Bacterial small subunit ribosomal RNA", at positions 524 to 776 of the family's 1533-position model. The record is from RNAcentral.
UACGUAGGGGGCAAGCGUUGUCCGGAAUUAUUGGGCGUAAAGCGCGUGUAGGCGGCUCGGUAAGUCUGCUGUGAAAGUCCAAGGCUCAACCUUGGAAAGCCGGUGGAUACUGUCGAGCUCGAGUCCGGAAGAGGCGAGUGGAAUUCCUGGUGUAGCGGUGAAAUGCGCAGAUAUCAGGAGGAACACCAAUGGCGAAGGCAGCUCGCUGGGACGGUACUGACGCUGAGACGCGAAAGCGCGGGGAGCAAACAGG